This 62-nucleotide transfer RNA is filed under the name Meretrix lamarckii (Korean hard clam). RNAcentral describes it as "tRNA-His". Lineage: Eukaryota; Metazoa; Mollusca; Bivalvia; Venerida; Veneridae. The record is from RNAcentral.
UUGAUUUAGUUUAUUUAUAAAAUGUUGUUUUGUGGAAGCAAAGAAAAUUAAAAUUAGUCAAU